Molecule: small nucleolar RNA, 88 nt
Filed under: Aspergillus wentii DTO 134E9
Lineage: Eukaryota; Fungi; Ascomycota; Eurotiomycetes; Eurotiales; Aspergillaceae
Description: A. fumigatus snoRNA Afu_300
Rfam family: A. fumigatus snoRNA Afu_300
Source: Rfam by way of RNAcentral
UCAAAUGAUGCUCUUCGUAUUAUAUACGCUGGAAAUUACCGACUGAGGCUUUCGAGUCUUUGACGAUAUCAAAUGGCUAAAUCUGAUC